AAAUCGGCCAAGAAAGAACAUUUUGGAUGUCUUAACAAGCUAAAUGAGAGAAAAUGAGAGAAGGCCCCAACCCUGGGGGAGGAACGGCCAGGUAAGGCCUUCAUUGGGCAGAAUGGGGUUUUGACCUAUGUCCUCUAAACCUCAGAGGUACAAGCUCGUGGCCUGUGUUAGUACAACUUGUGGCGAGUGAUGCAACUAUUAUCAUUUAACAUUCGUAACAUAUUCACAUGUGAAUAUUGUUAUUUGUAUAAUUAUAAAAGUGCCUGUACAGUGAGUCUAAUCUAAACCAGAUAGAGAACUGAUGGUCAGAAAGUUAUCUGGAGUGGGAAACUGAAUCCCCUCAGGUUUCUCUGAGUUUGUUCAGUUGUUUGGAUUUCGUGUCAUAUGUGAUCAGCUUCCUAGCGUAUUUAUUCUGGCAACGGAGGGGUCGGGUGUGAGAGAAACCUCUUGGAGAAGUUUUCAUUGAAAACUUGGUGUUGCCUAUAUAAGUCUUAUUUCUUGAUCACUUCCACAGAGUAAAACAAAUCUCAGUAAAUGGGAGGCUUGUUGCUUUUUUCCAUUUUUCUGCUCUAAGAUUAUUUUGGAGUUUCUUGGUAUUGUUCAUUUCUUCCCCUGUGUUUAGAUAUCUCCCCUAACUCUUAUCACCGCUGGUGUCUGUCUACUCCUCCAGGUCCCCACAUCCUUUCACUUGCUUUGUUCAGUUUUCUGGUCUUUUGGUAUGAACUCCCUUCAAGCCAGAGUGUUGGGUCUGUUACUCUCUAAUUAUUUUUUUCAGAGCAAUUUUCCCCAAUAUAAAUUAUACCCUCAAUUACUUUUCUCUCCCUGGAGCAGUGAAUCACAUUCUAAGAAGCUGUUAGGGUGGAGGCAGUUGGAUACCAAGCUGGGAGGUUUCAGCCAGUGCCGGCUUGUCACCCUCAUUCUGUUUACCAUGCUGCAGCGGCCAAAGUGCAGCCUUGUGCUAAAGUUACCAGCAAUGGAAGGGCCUUCAGUGCCUAUUCCUGCUACACCACGUGCUCUGGGUACCUAUGUGAAGGAGACACCAUAUUUUAAAGCACUGGCCUGUGCUUGGAGGCAAGAAGAAAAAUUUGCUCAAUCUAGGAUGGCUUGAUAUUUGAAAACUGAGUAGAUUGCAUAAGUGUCCCCAGUCUUCAUCCCUCCCUGGAUUACUACUCUCUGCCAUAUGACUUGACAGUUUUUCCGAUCCAGAGAUGACCCACUGAGAGUGACUGUGAUGCCUGCUUCAGCCAAUAGGAUGUUAGCAGAUGUGAUAUAAGCAGAGGCUUGGAAGCGUGCUUGCACCCCUGGACUUGCUGUCUUGCAUCGUUACUAUUUCUGUGAGAAGAGCACGCCUGGGCUGGCCCACUGGUCCCAGGAUGGGAAUGAGAGGUAUGUGGGGCAGAGCUGCCCCCAGGAAGCUGCCCCAGCCCCUCCCAGCCUAGAACAGAACCAUCCAGCUGACCCAGAGAUGCAUGAACAAACCCAGCCGAGAUUGGCAGGUCUGCCUAGCCAACGUUCACGUGAACUGCUGAUGCCAGAGCCCAAGUAGGAAGUGAUUGUUGUUUUCAGCUUCUGAAUUUUGAGGUGGUUUGCUUCCCAGCAAUUGCGAUGAUGUCAAGCCCUCUGAGACCAUUGUGAUGAUUGUAUGAGCAACUAGAAGCAAAAGCACUUCACAAAUGUAAAAUUGUGGGGCGUGAGCAUAAGGGAAUGCACUGUUGAACAAGCUCUGGGCCUGGAAACCGAAGACCCGAGCUCAAAUCCACUCAUGCCCCCAAUCACUCUACACACUUGGGCAGAGACCUGAAAGUGUGGGCUACAUGAAUGAGUGAGGUAGGAGAAAAACCUCCACCAUGGCUUACAGAAGGCACCUUUCUGACAUCUCUUCACUUGGAAUAAAGCAAAGCUGGGGACAAUUAUGAAGUCUUUGGUCACAUGGAGAGAUAAUAGUCCAGACUGGCAGUUCGAUACACCUGUAAGAGCUCUCCCUUAGCUACCUUUAACUUUUCUAGGUUGUGUAUUACCUGACCUUGGACAAGUCACCUACCCUAUGGGCAAGUGGAUGCAGUAUGGUUCAUUCAUUCAUUGUGUAUUGAUUACAUGCUCCAUUCCAGGAACUACUCUCUGGACACUGGGGAUGAAACAGUAUUCAGACAUGGCUCCUGAGCUGGCUACCAUCUCAGGUUGAUGCUUCUAAUGAGGAAAUUCUUAAAGGCAUUUUGUUAUUCCAGAGAAGGACAGCCCCUACAGUGCCUUCUUCAGACUGAAGCCUAUAAUAAGAAAUAAAUGGAAAUGCUAGUUAGGGAAAUAGAGGCAGAGAGAGAGAUAGGAAAAGUCUUCCUUGAUACGACAGAAUGCUUCUCCAGGCUAACUCCCCAGUAGAACCUAGUGUGGUUAACAGCUUGGACUUGUCUCAUUGGGCAAAUUACUUACGUCUCUAGAUUUAAUUUCCUCAACUGUAAC
Long non-coding RNA from Hipposideros armiger (great roundleaf bat), 2457 nucleotides. RefSeq lists it as uncharacterized. The transcript has 3 exons. The record is from RefSeq and is a predicted model, not a curated record. Lineage: Eukaryota; Metazoa; Chordata; Mammalia; Chiroptera; Hipposideridae.